GCCUAAUUACAAAAUAAAACCAAAUAGUAGAUCCGAAAACAGAGUUGUAAUUAAAGUUGCGAUUUGUGCACUUUAUUUACAAGACUCAAGAGAACCAUCAUCAUUGAUCCAUAGCUCAACAAAACCCUAAUUAUGUCUACUGCUGAAAUCUUCUUGUAUGUUCAUACCAUUCUUCAAGCAAUCUGCUUUCUAGAUACGAUCCAGCCGGAGGAUACAUUGGGCCAUUGUUCAUGCCUG
Long non-coding RNA from Arabidopsis thaliana (thale cress), 237 nucleotides. RefSeq annotates it as other RNA. The record is from RefSeq. The transcript has a single exon. Lineage: Eukaryota; Viridiplantae; Streptophyta; Magnoliopsida; Brassicales; Brassicaceae.